GAUGAACGCUAGCUACAGGCUUAACACAUGCAAGUCGAGGGGCAGCAUGAACUUAGCUUGCUAAGUUUGAUGGCGACCGGCGCACGGGUGAGUAACACGUAUCCAACCUUCCGUUUACUCAGGGAUAGCCUUUCGAAAGAAAGAUUAAUACCUGAUAGUAUGGUGAGAUUGCAUGAUAACACCAUUAAAGAUUUAUUGGUAAACGAUGGGGAUGCGUUCCAUUAGGUAGUAGGCGGGGUAACGGCCCACCUAGCCUGCGAUGGAUAGGGGUUCUGAGAGGAAGGUCCCCCACAUUGGAACUGAGACACGGUCCAAAACUCCUACGGGAGGCAGCAGUGAGGAAUAUUGGUCAAUGGGCGAGAGCCUGAACCAGCCAAGUAGCGUGAAGGAUGAAGGUCCUACGGAUUGUAAACUUCUUUAUACGGGAAUAAAGUUUCCUACGUGUAGGAUUUUGUAUGUACCGUAUGAAUAAGCAUCGGCUAACUCCGUGCCAGCAGCC
RNAcentral lists this ribosomal RNA (499 nucleotides) under uncultured bacterium. RNAcentral describes it as "bacterial SSU rRNA". It matches the Rfam family "Bacterial small subunit ribosomal RNA", at positions 28 to 516 of the family's 1533-position model. The record is from RNAcentral.